This is a non-coding RNA of Ascosphaera pollenicola, 72 nucleotides long. Lineage: Eukaryota; Fungi; Ascomycota; Eurotiomycetes; Onygenales; Ascosphaeraceae. The record is from the annotation of a GenBank genome assembly.
GGGCCUAUGGCGCAACGGUAGCGCGUUUGACUCCAGAUCAAAAGGUUAUCCGUUCAAAUCGGGUUGGGCUCA